UAAAGAUUCAUCGCUGAUAGAUAGGCAUGCGUUCCAUUAGGCAGUUGGCGGGGUAACGGCCCACCAAACCGACGAUGGAUAGGGGUUCUGAGAGGAAGGUCCCCCACAUUGGUACUGAGACACGGACCAAACUCCUACGGGAGGCAGCAGUGAGGAAUAUUGGUCAAUGGGCGUAAGCCUGAACCAGCCAAGUCGCGUGAGGGAUGAAGGUUCUAUGGAUCGUAAACCUCUUUUAUAAGGGAAUAAAGUGCGGGACGUGUCCCGUUUUGUAUGUACCUUAUGAAUAAGGAUCGGCUAACUCCGUGCCAGCAGCCGCGGUAAUACGGAGGAUCCGAGCGUUAUCCGGAUUUAUUGGGUUUAAAGGGUGCGUAGGCGGCCUUUUAAGUCAGCGGUGAAAGUCUGUGGCUCAACCAUAGAAUUGCCGUUGAAACUGGGAGGCUUGAGUAUGUUUGAGGCAGGCGGAAUGCGUGGUGUAGCGGUGAAAUGCUUAGAUAUCACGCAGAACCCCGAUUGCGAAGGCAGCCCGCCAAGCCAUGACUGACGCUGAUGCACGAAAGCGUGGGGAUCAAACAGGAUUAGAUACCCUGGUAGUCCACGCAGUAAACGAUGAUCACUAGCUGUUUGCGAUACACAGUAA
Molecule: ribosomal RNA, 637 nt
Filed under: uncultured bacterium
Lineage: Bacteria
Description: bacterial SSU rRNA
Rfam family: Bacterial small subunit ribosomal RNA
Source: RNAcentral